Transfer RNA from Arabis alpina (gray rockcress), 72 nucleotides. It matches the Rfam family "tRNA". Rfam says of the family: Transfer RNA (tRNA) molecules are approximately 80 nucleotides in length. The record is from Rfam. Lineage: Eukaryota; Viridiplantae; Streptophyta; Magnoliopsida; Brassicales; Brassicaceae.
GCCGACUUAGCUCAGUGGUAGAGCGCAUGACUUUUAAUCAUGUGGCCGUGGGUUCGACCCCCACAGUCGGCU